Molecule: ribosomal RNA, 460 nt
Filed under: uncultured Bacteroides sp.
Lineage: Bacteria; Pseudomonadati; Bacteroidota; Bacteroidia; Bacteroidales; Bacteroidaceae
Description: bacterial SSU rRNA
Rfam family: Bacterial small subunit ribosomal RNA
Source: RNAcentral
CCUACGGGGGGCUGCAGUGAGGAAUAUUGGUCAAUGGACGAGAGUCUGAACCAGCCAAGUAGCGUGAAGGAUGACUGCCCUAUGGGUUGUAAACUUCUUUUAUAAGGGAAUAAAGUGAGGGACGUGUCCCUUUUUGUAUGUACCUUAUGAAUAAGGAUCGGCUAACUCCGUGCCAGCAGCCGCGGUAAUACGGAGGAUCCAAGCGUUAUCCGGAUUUAUUGGGUUUAAAGGGAGCGUAGGUUGACAUAUAAGUCAGCUGUGAAAGUUUACGGCUCAACCGUGAAAUUGCAGUUGAUACUGUAUGUCUUGAGUGUACAAGAGGUGGGCGGAAUUCGUGGUGUAGCGGUGAAAUGCUUAGAUAUCACGAAGAACUCCAAUUGCGAAGGCAGCUCACUGGGGUACAACUGACACUGAGGCUCGAAAGUGUGGGUAUCAAACAGGCUUAGAUACCCUAGUAGUC